ACCUUACCAAAUCUUGACAUCCUCUGACCCCUCUAGAGAUAGAGUUUUCCCCUUCGGGGGACAGAGUGACAGGUGGUGCAUGGUUGUCGUCAGCUCGUGUCGUGAGAUGUUGGGUUAAGUCCCGCAACGAGCGCAACCCUUAAGCUUAGUUGCCAUCAUUAAGUUGGGCACUCUAAGUUGACUGCCGGUGACAAACCGGAGGAAGGUGGGGAUGACGUCAAAUCAUCAUGCCCCUUAUGAUUUGGGCUACACACGUGCUACAAUGGACAAUACAAAGGGCAGCGAAACCGCGAGGUCAAGCAAAUCCCAUAAAGUUGUUCUCAGUUCGGAUUGUAGUCUGCAACUCGACUAUAUGAAGCUGGAAUCGCUAGUAAUCGU
RNAcentral lists this ribosomal RNA (378 nucleotides) under Staphylococcus sp. 132R. Its description in RNAcentral is "bacterial SSU rRNA". It matches the Rfam family "Bacterial small subunit ribosomal RNA", at positions 968 to 1345 of the family's 1533-position model. The record is from RNAcentral. Lineage: Bacteria; Bacillati; Bacillota; Bacilli; Caryophanales; Staphylococcaceae.